GUGGGUGUAGCUCAGUUGGUAGAGUGCCGGAUUGUGAUUCCGGUUGUCGUGGGUUCAAGCCCCAUCAUCCACCCCA
This 76-nucleotide transfer RNA is filed under the name Kofleriaceae bacterium. Its description in RNAcentral is "tRNA-His". It matches the Rfam family "tRNA". From Rfam's summary of the family: Transfer RNA (tRNA) molecules are approximately 80 nucleotides in length. Their secondary structure includes four short double-helical elements and three loops (D, anti-codon, and T loops). The record is from RNAcentral. Lineage: Bacteria; Pseudomonadati; Myxococcota; Haliangiales; Kofleriaceae.